AUCCAGAUGUCGAGUCCCAAAUUGGACGAAAUGCGCAUCCUGAAC
Non-coding RNA from Trichobilharzia regenti, 45 nucleotides. NCBI's taxonomy places the organism in Eukaryota, Metazoa, Platyhelminthes, Trematoda, Strigeidida, Schistosomatidae. The record is from Rfam.